Molecule: ribosomal RNA, 256 nt
Filed under: uncultured bacterium
Lineage: Bacteria
Description: partial 16S ribosomal RNA
Rfam family: Bacterial small subunit ribosomal RNA
Source: RNAcentral
UACGUAGGGCGCAAGCGUUGUCCGGAAUUAUUGGGCGUAAAGAGCUCGUAGGCGGUUUGUCGCGUCUGCUGUGAAAACUCGGGGCUUAACCCGGCUCGGCCGUGCAGGUGGCGGGCAGACUAGAGUGCGGUAGGGGGAGACUGGAAUUCCUGGUGUAGCGGUGAAAUGCGCAGAUAUCAGGAGGAACACCAAUGGCGAAGGCAGCUCGCUGGGACGUGACUGACGCUGAGACGCGAAAGCGUGGGGAGCAAACAGG